GGAGAGAUGCGAGAGCGGUUGAAUCGGGCGGUCUCGAAAACCGUUGAACCCUCGCGGGUUCCGGGGGUUCGAAUCCCCCUCUCUCCG
Molecule: transfer RNA, 87 nt
Filed under: Treponema sp.
Lineage: Bacteria; Pseudomonadati; Spirochaetota; Spirochaetia; Treponematales; Treponemataceae
Also listed under: 3 other names
Description: tRNA-Ser
Rfam family: tRNA
About the family: Transfer RNA (tRNA) molecules are approximately 80 nucleotides in length. Their secondary structure includes four short double-helical elements and three loops (D, anti-codon, and T loops).
Source: RNAcentral